RNAcentral lists this ribosomal RNA (301 nucleotides) under uncultured bacterium. RNAcentral's name for it is "partial 16S ribosomal RNA". It matches the Rfam family "Bacterial small subunit ribosomal RNA", at positions 509 to 807 of the family's 1533-position model. The record is from RNAcentral.
CAGCAGCCACGGUAAAACGUAGGGUGCAAGCGUUAAUCGGAAUUACUGGGCGUAAAGCGUGCGCAGGCGGUUCGUUAAGACAGAUGUGAAAUCCCCGGGCUUAACCUGGGAACUGCAUUUGUGACUGGCGGGCUAGAGUAUGGCAGAGGGGGGUAGAAUUCCACGUGUAGCAGUGAAAUGCGUAGAGAUGUGGAGGAAUACCGAUGGCGAAGGCAGCCCCCUGGGCCAAUACUGACGCUCAUGCACGAAAGCGUGGGGAGCAAACAGGAUUAGAUACCCGAGUAGUCCCUGUCUCUUAUAC